RNAcentral lists this unclassified non-coding RNA (1077 nucleotides) under Hevea brasiliensis (rubber tree). Lineage: Eukaryota; Viridiplantae; Streptophyta; Magnoliopsida; Malpighiales; Euphorbiaceae. The record is from RNAcentral.
UUCUUCGAGCCCUUGACACUGUUGGUUUGUCUCUAUCUCUAUUAUCUUUAACCUUACCAAUUUGGUGCGAUUUUUCUUACAUCAUCAGGUGUCAAAUUGGAUUUGAAGUUGCUAUCUUUAGCAAUAGAUCUAUUUUAUUAAAUACUCAGGAGAAUUUUAAGCUGAAGGCAAGUAUAUAUCAGCUUAGGUUGGGUUGAAACUGAGUGAGGUCCCUUUUUCUCUUUGCAUUUUUCAGCAUGAGAAUUUGUUUCAUUCAUGGUUGUAUAAGCAAACAGGAGGCUUGAUUACAUUUCAAAUGCCUUUAAUAAUCUUCUGCUUGCAAUGAAUGCCAAUUGUUGGAUCUGAGAUAAUAUUUUAGUUUUACAUUUAAGAAGAUGGAUCUUGUCAUUGUGAAAAUGGACUAGUACAUCAUGCCAAGCGGCCCCAUGUUGCAUGGUAGAACCAGAAACUCUCAGGCCACCAUGUUGUGCAGGGUUUGAGAAGAUAGAGAAGAGAAAUAUAGGUUUUAUUUUAGGAAAAAUUGUUAUUUAGUCUUUCUAUUUUAACGAAGUUAACUACUUGGUCCUACUAUUUUAAAAAAUACAUUAGUUAGUCCCCGCAUUUUUGUUGUGCCUAUUCUUUAGUCCUUAUACGAAGUUUAAAUCAAGUUUUUUGUUGGUCAAUGUAUUCAAAUGAGAGAUAUUAUUGUAUAGUUCAUGGUUUAAAAAAUAACAAGACUAUAUAAUUGUCUUUUUAAAAUUACAGGGUCUGAAUGAAAUUCAAACUAACAACUAAAAUGACUAGAUGAACUAAAAAGUAAACAGAACAAAAAUAAAGGAACUAACUAAUAUAUUCUUCAAAAUAUGAAGACCAAAUAGUUAGUUUCUUUAAAAUAGUGAGACUAAAUAGUAAUUUUUCCUCUUAAAAAAAUAAUGAAAUCCCUAAUGGGUCUCCCUUACAUCAAUCUAACUCUGGAAAAGUCUAGGUACGGAUAUUCACCAUCAAUAUAGCUUCUCGCCUAUGUCUAAUAUAAUCCUCUAGUCAACACAGAUUGGUAAACGACCCAACCCAAGAGCUUCUCUCUCUCUCUCUCUCUCU